Molecule: long non-coding RNA, 261 nt
Organism: Grammomys surdaster
Lineage: Eukaryota; Metazoa; Chordata; Mammalia; Rodentia; Muridae
Exons: 3
Source: RefSeq, a predicted model, not a curated record
CCCUGGUCCCUUCCAGGGUGAGUUGUCCUAAGUGACCAUGGAGAAUCAACCGCCCAGAUUCAGUGCCCUGCCAGAAUGUGGUUGACAGUAACAAAAGAUCCAUAGCCUUUCUGAUGACACCCAGCACCUCGGAUUCCAUAUACACCGGAGUUGAUUUAAGCAUCUUACUGCCUGAAAUCUGGGGUCCUUUAUUCUGGCAGGUAAGACCCUUUUGUGUUUCCUGAGACUGGCUUCGAAGACACCCCCCCCCCUGCUGAGGCC